GAGCAGUCGUCGCCGCUCGGAAGUCUCCAGUUGCGCAAACCCCUCACGCCCUGAGACACAGAGGACCACGUGGAUCGUGUGCCACUCCUCCCCGGGCGCGAUCAACAACCAGGGAGCUAGUGAUUGCUCACCGGAGUCUAGAAACUGCGCCAAGCAAUUUUUCCAUCGUGAACCCGCUCGGUCGUCGCUUAAUCCUCCGGUGAGACACGUCCCACCGAAUUCACUUCUCAUCUGCUGCGGUUAACGCUUAUCGGAUCGGUGCGGAUACCCCGGGGUAGGGUUUUGGUUUACUCGGCAAUGGAUCGUCGCAGGUGUUGCGCUGCCGCCGUCCAGUCGGCCAGGGAAGAAGAAAGCUCUGGUGCCGUCUGAUCUCCUUUAGAUGGCUCAGAUUAGAUAUCGAAUACCCUUUCGCCCACUUUCGAUCUAAAUCGUAGAUCUACAAAUGGGCGGAUCUGAUCGUGACUUGCCACGUCCUUGAUUUGGGCUGGGGGAUCACGAUCCAACGGCCGAAAGCGCAUACCGAUUCAUAACCCCCGUCGAUCGAAUCGUGACCGUCCACUCAUGAUGUGGCGGCCAGGGUUUCUAGAUACCCCUUCGGCCCGACCUUUUUACUAAAGAGACCCCGAAUUUAUUUACAAUUAACCUGCCGUCCUUAGUAGUGAGAGAAUAAUUGAAGUUUAGUCCUGUUAUUUAUAAGUUAGCCCCCACGCUUUCCAGUAAUUCUGCGCGCAGUCCAGAGGGCUGGAAAAUAGGAUAAAACCAAUAUAGAAAAUAAUUUUAGUAUUAAAAUAAUUCCAAAAACUUGUUUAAAUCAUAGUAAACUCAUUUUAAUUUCUUUUUGACCCAUUCUAGUUGCUAUAAUCUUGUUUUAAUAUUUUUUAUCACCUGGUAACUCUGUUUUGUCAUGAAACAUAGGCUAAAAUUAUUCAUUUAGUUUAAUCUAUACCAAUCACUUAAUAACUUCAGAAAAUUGUAACUCGAUAAUCGUAACUCCAAAUUUAGUGAUUCUUGUUCCUGCGAUCUCGUUAUGAUGCGUAGAAUAUUAUUAUGCAGUAGGGUCUCAUGUUUGGUGUGAUGUUAAUUUCUCCUGUACCAUGUUUGUUUGUAUUGUUGGCAAUAGACGAGCAAGCCACUGAGGACCCCGGUGUUCAACAAGUGGAUAAUUCUGAGCAAGAGGUCGUUGAAGGCAAGUUGUGCCCUUGACCACUUUUAUUUACCCAAUAAUGUUCUCUCUAAUCAUUAUGGCAUGAUUAGGCUUAAUUUUGAUGGGAACCCAAUAGGUCACCCUAGUAUGCUUUAUCUUGUGCCUUGAUCACCACUGAACUUUUUGGGUAGUCUUGCUAGUGCUAUAUGUGCUUUUGGGUGUUGAGAUAAAUUUGGCACAUGAUCAUUCCUUAUUAUUACUAUUUAUUAUUUAUUGUUCAUGAUAAGAUUAUUGUGUUAAUUGGAACAUGGAGAACCACCUGGGAAAACAGUGCUACCACAAGGGUGGAAUGGGACACCCUUGGCCAAGUAACAUUGCUUGGCCAAGUAAAAGCAAUGCUCAGCUUCAACCAUUAUUUAUUGAUCAGCCUUACAUAUCACAUGGGCUCACACCUUUGGUGAGUUCAUGCACAUUAUUCCCCACAACUUGUUGAGCUAUGAUCUUUUGUGAGCUUACCCUUAUGAUAUAUAAACCCCCACAAGAGAAGAACGGGUGGUCCAGGAGGAGCCUUACAAUGAAGAGUACGAGCUUAUCUAGGUGGCGUCUCCUAGUCAGCUUGAUGGCGCCAAGAAAUAAUACUUAGUUCUCUUUAUUGUUCUCAUUUAUUUUUAUAAGACUUCCGCUAUGUAAUAAUGAUACUUGUGACAUUUAUCUCUAUAUACUUUGUUAUUAUAUGUGGUGUACUUCUUUGGCGCACAUAUGAGAUGCACCCGGCUUUAUCCCUUAAAUCCGGGUGUGAUAGUUACCGGCCUGCUACACAAAGACACAGACCAGCCCUCCCCCACCCCCACUCAGCCACUCCCCAGCGCCAGAGGCCCAGCCCACAAAUGCCUUGUGCCCUCGCCCGUCGUGGCCAUAUAACCCUAACCCUAACGCCACUCUGCCCACUCGCUCCACUCCUAUUCUCACGCCUCUCCGCUUGGCGCUUGUGGCUCGCCUCUCGCUCAGUCGCUCUCGAUCUCUCCGCUGCGCUCUUGCAUCGCCUCUCA
This 2193-nucleotide long non-coding RNA is filed under the name Zea mays. Its description in RNAcentral is "long non-coding RNA (ZMAY_LNC000641)". The record is from RNAcentral. Lineage: Eukaryota; Viridiplantae; Streptophyta; Magnoliopsida; Poales; Poaceae.